Molecule: long non-coding RNA, 145 nt
Organism: Gavialis gangeticus (Gharial)
Lineage: Eukaryota; Metazoa; Chordata; Crocodylia; Gavialidae
Exons: 3
Source: RefSeq, a predicted model, not a curated record
UUUGGGUUUUUUUAACCCUUUCUUAGAGGCAUUGCCUGUUGGCUGCAGCCCAGGCUGGGGAUUGUGCCUGGGCUGUGCCAGUGCUCCUGCUGGGACUUAAACCUGGAGGAUCAUGGCUAGAGGGUAUUGCCCCCUGCUCACGGUC